ACUGAUUGAUGGUGCUUGCACCUGAUUGACGAUGGAUCACCAGUGAGUGGCGGACGGGUGAGUAACACGUAGGUAACCUGCCCCGGAGCGGGGGAUAACAUUUGGAAACAGAUGCUAAUACCGCAUAACAACAAAAGCCACAUGGCUUUUGUUUGAAAGAUGGCUUUGGCUAUCACUCUGGGAUGGACCUGCGGUGCAUUAGCUAGUUGGUAAGGUAACGGCUUACCAAGGCGAUGAUGCAUAGCCGAGUUGAGAGACUGAUCGGCCACAAUGGAACUGAGACACGGUCCAUACUCCUACGGGAGGCAGCAGUAGGGAAUCUUCCACAAUGGGCGCAAGCCUGAUGGAGCAACACCGCGUGAGUGAAGAAGGGUUUCGGCUCGUAAAGCUCUGU
Molecule: ribosomal RNA, 394 nt
Filed under: Limosilactobacillus reuteri
Lineage: Bacteria; Bacillati; Bacillota; Bacilli; Lactobacillales; Lactobacillaceae
Description: bacterial SSU rRNA
Rfam family: Bacterial small subunit ribosomal RNA
Source: RNAcentral